UUCUCCUGGGAAACGGGUGGUAAUGCCGGAUGCUCCGACUCCUCGCAUGGGGUGUCGGGAAAGAUUUCAUCGGUAUGGGAUGGGGUCGCGUCCUAUCAGGUAGUCGGCGGGGUAACGGCCCACCGAGCCUACGACGGGUAGCCGGCCUGAGAGGGCGACCGGCCACAUUGGGACUGAGAUACGGCCCAGACUCCUACGGGAGGCAGCAGUGGGGAAUAUUGCACAAUGGGCGCAAGCCUGAUGCAGCGACGCCGCGUGCGGGAUGACGGCCUUCGGGUUGUAAACCGCUUUUGAUCGGGAGCAAGCCUUCGGGUGAGUGUACCUUUCGAAUAAGCACCGGCUAACUACGUGCCAGCAGCCGCGGUAAUACGUAGGGUGCAAGCGUUAUCCGGAAUUAUUGGGCGUAAAGGGCUCGUAGGCGGUUCGUCGCGUCCGGUGUGAAAGUCCAUCGCUUAACGGUGGAUCUGCGCCGGGUACGGGCGGGCUGGAGUGCGGUAGGGGAGACUGGAAUUCCCGGUGUAACGGUGGAAUGUGUAGAUAUCGGAAAGAACACCA
Molecule: ribosomal RNA, 555 nt
Filed under: Bifidobacterium pseudocatenulatum
Lineage: Bacteria; Bacillati; Actinomycetota; Actinomycetes; Bifidobacteriales; Bifidobacteriaceae
Description: bacterial SSU rRNA
Rfam family: Bacterial small subunit ribosomal RNA
Source: RNAcentral